This 463-nucleotide ribosomal RNA is filed under the name uncultured bacterium. RNAcentral describes it as "bacterial SSU rRNA". It matches the Rfam family "Bacterial small subunit ribosomal RNA", at positions 355 to 822 of the family's 1533-position model. The record is from RNAcentral.
UAGGGAAUAUUGGUCAAUGGAUGGAAGUCUGAACCAGCCAUGCCGCGUGCAGGAAGAAGGCCUUCUGGGUUGUAAACUGCUUUUGCCAGGGGAUAAAAAUUCCAUGCGUGGAAAAUUGAAGGUACCUGGUGAAUAAGCCACGGCUAACUACGUGCCAGCAGCCGCGGUAAUACGUAGGUGGCAAGCGUUGUCCGGAUUUAUUGGGUUUAAAGGGUGCGUAGGCGGCUUUGUAAGUCAGUGGUGAAAUAUGGCAGCUUAACUGUCAGGGUGCCAUUGAUACUGCGAGGCUUGAGUACAGAUGAGGUAGGCGGAAUUGACGGUGUAGCGGUGAAAUGCUUAGAUAUCGUCAAGAACACCUAUAGCGAAGGCAGCUUACUAGGCUGUAACUGACGCUGAGGCACGAAAGUGUGGGGAUCAAACAGGAUUAGAUACCCAAGUAGUCCCUGAGCGGGCUGGCAAGGCG